This 272-nucleotide ribosomal RNA is filed under the name uncultured prokaryote. Its description in RNAcentral is "partial 16S ribosomal RNA". It matches the Rfam family "Bacterial small subunit ribosomal RNA", at positions 524 to 796 of the family's 1533-position model. The record is from RNAcentral.
GACGGAGGAUGCAAGCGUUAUCCGGAAUUAUUGGGCGUAAAGCGUCCGCAGGUGGCUAGUCAAGUCUGCUGUUAAAGCGUGCAGCUCAACUGCAUAUGGGCGGUGGAAACUGAUUAGCUAGAGUAUGGUAGGGGUAGAGGGAAUUCCCGGUGUAGCGGUGAAAUGCGUAGAUAUCGGGAAGAACACCAGUGGCGAAAGCGCUCUACUGGGCCAAAACUGACACUGAGGGACGAAAGCUAGGGGAGCGAAAGGGAUUAGAACCCCUGUAGUCC